AGAGGCGGGGGCGCCGCUUCGGGAGAGCGGGCAGUUCUAGGAGGCCGACCUGGAGAGCCUCCCGGUUCCCCUUCCCCUUUUCCCGGACCCCGCGGGGACACCCCCUCGCCGCCACCCGGGCCUCCCCGAGGGCCCAACUGCGGGUCAGGCGGCCCGGGCCAGCCGAAAGGGAAGUGGGGCUACCCCACAGCCAGGCAGCGGGGCUGGGGUCAGACCCGGGAGCCGGAGGUUGGAGACGUGCGACAGUCACCUGCGGGCAGAUUCCAGAGGGGAGACCCAGGGCUGCAGGGGACGCCCCUUCGUGGCAGCUACCCAGCCUCGGCCCACUGCCAGUGUUACGUGGCUGCAUGACCAUACACUUCUGGGUAGAGCCCAGUGGAAGACAAAGAAGACUCAAGGAAUAGCCCUUGAGAUCCUGAACCAACUUUGAAGGCAGAGAAGUGGGCUAGAAGAAGUGGGGUUGGAGCCUCCACCAAGGACAAGAAGGCCUUAGCCCCCUGCUUCCAGCUCAAGCUGAAGUGGCUGUGAGCUGAGCUAAGAAGACCCCACUUCGCCAGGAGGAGUGCCUCACGCCUGUAAUCCCAGCACUUUGAAAGGCCGAGGCAGGUGGAUCACGUGAGGUCAGGAGUUUAAGACCAGCCUGGCCAACAUGAUGGAGUCUAGCUCUGUCGCCCAGGCUGGAGUACAGUGGCGUGAUCUCGGCUCACUCCAACCUCCGCCUCCCGGGUUCAAGCGAUUCUCCUGCCUCAGCCUCCUGGGUAGCUGGGACUACAGGCAUGUGCCACCCCG
Molecule: long non-coding RNA, 789 nt
Filed under: Homo sapiens (human)
Lineage: Eukaryota; Metazoa; Chordata; Mammalia; Primates; Hominidae
Description: non-protein coding lnc-PGS1-1:16
Source: RNAcentral